CAGUCGCCGCGGUAACACCGAGGGUGCAAGCGUUAAUCGGAAUUACUGGGCGUAAAGCGCGCGUAGGUGGUUUGUUAAGUUGGAUGUGAAAUCCCCGGGCUCAACCUGGGAACUGCAUCCAAAACUGGCAAGCUAGAGUAUGGUAGAGGGUGGUGGAAUUUCCUGUGUAGCGGUGAAAUGCGUAGAUAUAGGAAGGAACACCAGUGGCGAAGGCGACCACCUGGACUGAUACUGACACUGAGGUGCGAAAGCGUGGGGAGCAAACAGGAUUAGAGACCCCCGUAGUCCCUGUCUCUUAUAC
This 301-nucleotide ribosomal RNA is filed under the name uncultured bacterium. RNAcentral describes it as "partial 16S ribosomal RNA". It matches the Rfam family "Bacterial small subunit ribosomal RNA", at positions 509 to 807 of the family's 1533-position model. The record is from RNAcentral.